UGUCUAUGAUGAACAGUAAAAGGUCUGAUAAUACUGCAGUUCCCUUGCAGCCAGAACACUCCCAGCAGCCCCGUCUAAUACACCAGGUUCAAGUUGUACUGUGUGUGUUCCUAGGAGUUGCUGACAUUCUUAGAUAACUUGUAUCUUGGGUCCAGAAGACAUAGGACUCAUGAUAGUUAACGUUAUCGUACAUGUACCUAAUUUCUGGAGUGUGGUGUAUGGGAACUAGUCAUGUACGCAGUGUAUGAUCUUAAGUUUCAAGCUGAGACA
This is a non-coding RNA of Hyla sarda, 270 nucleotides long. RefSeq annotates it as small Cajal body-specific RNA 6. The record is from RefSeq and is a predicted model, not a curated record. NCBI's taxonomy places the organism in Eukaryota, Metazoa, Chordata, Amphibia, Anura, Hylidae. The transcript has a single exon.